GAAGCACGUGGAUAGAGGAAGCACUACAUUAUGGAAUGGAGGGAGUAUGUUGUAGGCAAUGAUUGUUUGCCUUGAAGAUUUUAUAGAUCCUGCUCUGGUCUUUCUGAUUUUGUCUGUUCCUUUUUUUUAUGUUUGGUUCG
RNAcentral lists this microRNA precursor (140 nucleotides) under Triticum aestivum (bread wheat). RNAcentral's name for it is "miR1118 stem-loop (tae-MIR1118)". Lineage: Eukaryota; Viridiplantae; Streptophyta; Magnoliopsida; Poales; Poaceae. The record is from miRBase by way of RNAcentral.